UACGUAGGGAGCAAGCGUUGUUCGGAUUUACUGGGCGUAAAGCGCACGUAGGCGGCUUUCUAAGUCAGGGGUGAAAUCCUGGAGCUCAACUCCAGAACUGCCUUUGAUACUGGAGAGCUUGAGUCCGGAAGAGGUGAGUGGAACUCCGAGUGUAGAGGUGAAAUUCGUAGAUAUUCGGAAGAACACCAGUGGCGAAGGCGGCUCACUGGUCCGGUACUGACGCUGAGGUGCGAAAGCGUGGGGAGCAAACAGG
RNAcentral lists this ribosomal RNA (253 nucleotides) under uncultured bacterium. Its description in RNAcentral is "partial 16S ribosomal RNA". It matches the Rfam family "Bacterial small subunit ribosomal RNA", at positions 524 to 776 of the family's 1533-position model. The record is from RNAcentral.